AACAGCUAUGGGUCAAGUCCGAUAUCUUUAGGAGAAGUCUUAUUGUGAGGGCGAGUUUUAUAACACCAUAGGACUGGCCGUCCCAUAUGAAAAGAUUAUAUUAGAAUUGAAUGAAGCUUUGUUUAUAUAUUGAUAAUGACAGUAUAUAUAUCGUGUCUUGACUAAUUGCGUGCCAGCAGUCGCGGUAAUACGUAAGAGACUAGUGUUAUUCAUCUUAAUUAGGUUUAAAGGGUACCCAGACGGUCAAUAUAGCUUAUAAAAUGUUAGUACUUGACUAGAGUUUUAUGUAAGAGGGCAGUACUUGAGGAGGAGAGAUGAAAUUUCGUGAUACCAAAGGGACUCUGUAAAGGCGAAGGCAGCCCUCUAUGUAAAAACUGACGUUGAAGGACGAAGGCACAGAGAACAAACAGGAUUAGAUACCCAAGUAGUCUUUGCAGUAAAUGAUGAAUGCCAUAGGUUAGAUGGGUGGGUAGUCUAGUUGAGUUAAUUUAGCAAACUAAUGAUCUAGACUAGUCCACCAUAUAUUUGGUCUAUAAAUGAAAGUGUAAGCAUUUCACCUCAAGAG
RNAcentral lists this ribosomal RNA (565 nucleotides) under Fusarium solani. RNAcentral's name for it is "SSU rRNA". It matches the Rfam family "Bacterial small subunit ribosomal RNA", at positions 379 to 880 of the family's 1533-position model. The record is from RNAcentral. Lineage: Eukaryota; Fungi; Ascomycota; Sordariomycetes; Hypocreales; Nectriaceae.